CACAGGGAGGAAGAGUCCCCAGUCCCAAGGGAGAGGCCGGGGUGGGCUGGAGUGGGCUGGGGCUCUGUGUCCCAGGCCCCAGCCUCCACAGCUUCAGCAGGUGGCAGGACCCUGCACUGGGCAGGGGCCUUCCCUCGUCCACGCAGGGGCCACUGCGCCGAGCCAGGCUUCUGAUCCUCGGGGUCCAGCUGAAUGACCAGGGUUGGAAAGCUGGGCAGGGGAUGGGACUGGCUGGAGCGGUGCUGGUUUUGAAGAUGGCCAGCGAGGGUCUAUCUGAGAAGGUGACAUUGGAGCAGAGAUCUAAUAAGAGGUUGAAAUAAGAAGUACACCCUCCUCAUUGGAUGUUGGGAGAACGUGCGGUACCUGUGCGUAAAGCUGAGCGCGGCCGUGGAGGAGCUCGCCUUCCCCUUGCACCUCCCCUCCCACCCCUGGAGAAAAAUUAACCAGAUAGUUAAAUGCAACCUUGGUGUUGGGCCUCACAAGUCAGCUGGGAUGAGGGGCUGCCACCAUCUGAUGACUCCAAGGACUUCCUGGCUGGGGUAACCCUGCCUUUCAGUCCACAAACACAUGAUUCAUCACGAAGGAAGAUGCAGGGCAGUAGGUGUUGGGGGCUGGGCAGGGCCCCUGCAGCCUUUGCAGAUGACCAGCUGGUCUCAGAUGGCAGGAGGUCGUGGGGUUGGGCCUUGGGAAGGAGCUUGCCCUGGGACCUGUCUGUCUCCCAGCCUCUUUUUCUCUCUCUUCCUUUGUUCUUUUAAACUCUGACCCUAUUACACACGUGAAUUCUUUUUAUCAAAAUCUUGAACAUGUAGAAUUUCUUUUCUGUGGUCACAGUUGCAGUUUUACAUGUGUCCGGGUGAUUCUCUGUGUUCCCCACCAAUCGUGAGUUCUAGAGUGGAUGAAGACUAGCAUUUUUAUUAAUUCCUGUUUCCCCCCAACAAGGACUAACAAAUGUAUUUUCCCACACAAAUCUUAAGAACCUGCAAGUUUGUCUCUACCGCUUAUAUUUUGGGGGGGGGCUUGUGGGGACCCUUGUCAUAGAGAUUUGCUGUCAAUCUUGUUCAUGGGACUUUGGUUUUGCUACCUUAUUGCUUUGCACGUUCUUACAUGGGGACUUGGAAAGAUACAAAACCUGUUUUAUACCACAGCCCCUGCCGUGCUCCCCAGAACCUCAUGAAAAACGUCAGCACUCAGACGUCCAGUGAUGGUUCUCCUUGGAGCCCAGAGAUGACCUUGGUGCCAGUUUGGGGCUCCUUGAUGUAUUUCAUGUGUAUCUAGCAAACUCAGGACCCAGCCCUGUUCUUACACAAAGAACAGUUGGCCAUACACGCUGCUUUGCUUCUUGCUUUUUGUAUUGCGUUAACAGAGUGUGUGACUAUUUUCCAGAUUAAUGUACCUAGUACUUUCCCAUUUAAAAAUAAAAAUGGCUGUUCGUAAA
This is a long non-coding RNA of Marmota monax (woodchuck), 1435 nucleotides long. RefSeq lists it as uncharacterized. The record is from RefSeq and is a predicted model, not a curated record. NCBI's taxonomy places the organism in Eukaryota, Metazoa, Chordata, Mammalia, Rodentia, Sciuridae. The transcript has 4 exons.